ACGAACGCUGGCGGCGUGCUUAACACAUGCCAGUCGAACGGAAAGGCCCUGCUUUUGUGGGGUGCUCGAGUGGCGAACGGGUGAGUAACACGUGAGUAACCUGCCCUUGACUUUGGGAUAACUUCAGGAAACUGGGGCUAAUACCGGAUAGGAGCUCCUGCUGCAUGGUGGGGGUUGGAAAGUUUCGGCGGUUGGGGAUGGACUCGCGGCUUAUCAGCUUGUUGGUGGGGUAGUGGCUUACCAAGGCUUUGACGGGUAGCCGGCCUGAGAGGGUGACCGGCCACAUUGGGACUGAGAUACGGCCCAGACUCCUACGGGAGGCAGCAGUGGGGAAUAUUGCACAAUGGGUGGAAGCCUGAUGCAGCAACGCCGCGUGCGGGAUGACGGCCUUCGGGUUGUAAACCGCUUUCGCCUGUGACGAAGCGUGAGUGACGGUAAUGGGUAAAGAAGCACCGGCUAACUACGUG
RNAcentral lists this ribosomal RNA (467 nucleotides) under uncultured bacterium. Its description in RNAcentral is "partial 16S ribosomal RNA". It matches the Rfam family "Bacterial small subunit ribosomal RNA", at positions 29 to 507 of the family's 1533-position model. The record is from RNAcentral.